RNAcentral lists this non-coding RNA (27 nucleotides) under Cricetulus griseus (Chinese hamster). Lineage: Eukaryota; Metazoa; Chordata; Mammalia; Rodentia; Cricetidae. The record is from RNAcentral.
GCGAGGAGCAGGUGUCUGGUGCUAAAG